UUAGUGGCGGACGGGUGAGUAACGCGUGGAAAACCUGCCGUAUACUGGGGGAUAACACUUAGAAAUAGGUGCUAAUACCGCAUAAGUGCACAGCUUCGCAUGAAGCGGUGUGAAAAACUCUGGUGGUAUACGAUGGUUCCGCGUCUGAUUAGCUAGUUGGUGGGGUAAUGGCCUACCAAGGCAACGAUCAGUAGCCGGCCUGAGAGGGUGAACGGCCACAUUGGGACUGAGACACGGCCCAAACUCCUACGGGAGGCAGCAG
Molecule: ribosomal RNA, 262 nt
Filed under: uncultured bacterium
Lineage: Bacteria
Description: partial 16S ribosomal RNA
Rfam family: Bacterial small subunit ribosomal RNA
Source: RNAcentral